RNAcentral lists this transfer RNA (92 nucleotides) under Streptomyces nojiriensis. Its description in RNAcentral is "tRNA-Gly". Lineage: Bacteria; Bacillati; Actinomycetota; Actinomycetes; Kitasatosporales; Streptomycetaceae. The record is from RNAcentral.
CGCGCGCAGGGCACUGGUGGGCCUGCGCCCUCCCAGGGCGCUGCCCCGGGCACCCCGGUGCCCGGGCAGGUUCCCGCACCUGCGCCCGCACC